AUCACAUUCGAGGACAUCCGAUAAAAUUGAAACCAUUAUAGAGAAGAUUUGCCCCUACGCAAGGAUGACACACAAAUGGAGAAAUGGUAUCAGAGCCUAU
This is a small nuclear RNA of Juglans microcarpa x Juglans regia, 100 nucleotides long. Lineage: Eukaryota; Viridiplantae; Streptophyta; Magnoliopsida; Fagales; Juglandaceae. The record is from RefSeq and is a predicted model, not a curated record.